GACGAACGCUGGCGGCGUGCUUAACACAUGCAAGUCGAACGGAAAGGCCCUGCUUUUGUGGGGUGCUCGAGUGGCGAACGGGUGAGUAACACGUGAGUAACCUGCCCUUGACUUUGGGAUAACUUCAGGAAACUGGGGCUAAUACCGGAUAGGAGCUCCUGCUGCAUGGUGGGGGUUGGAAAGUUUCGGCGGUUGGGGAUGGACUCGCGGCUUAUCAGCUUGUUGGUGGGGUAGUGGCUUACCAAGGCUUUGACGGGUAGCCGGCCUGAGAGGGUGACCGGCCACAUUGGGACUGAGAUUACGCCCAGACUCCUACGGGAGGCAGCAGUGGGGAAUAUUGCACAAUGGGCGGAAGCCUGAUGCAGCAACGCCGCGUGCGGGAUGACGGCCUUCGGGUUGUAAACCGCUUUCGCCUGUGACGAAGCGUGAGUGACGGUAAUGGGUAAAGAAGCAACGGCUAAAUACGUG
RNAcentral lists this ribosomal RNA (468 nucleotides) under uncultured bacterium. Its description in RNAcentral is "partial 16S ribosomal RNA". It matches the Rfam family "Bacterial small subunit ribosomal RNA", at positions 28 to 507 of the family's 1533-position model. The record is from RNAcentral.